AGAAUCAACGCUGGCGGCGUGCCUCAGACAUGCAAGUCGAACGCGAAAGUCCCCUUCGGGGGACAAGUAGAGUGGCGCACGGGUGAGUAACACGUAGGUAAUCUACCUUCGGAUGGGGAAUAACAACCGGAAACGGUUGCUAAUACCGCAUAAUGCAGCGGCACCUAAUGGUGACAGUUGUUAAAGCGGGGGAUCGAAAGACCUCGCGUCUGAAGAGGAGCCUGCGGCGGAUUAGCUAGUUGGUAGGGUAACGCCUACCAAGGCGACGAUCCGUAG
RNAcentral lists this ribosomal RNA (276 nucleotides) under uncultured soil bacterium. RNAcentral describes it as "partial 16S ribosomal RNA". It matches the Rfam family "Bacterial small subunit ribosomal RNA", at positions 26 to 286 of the family's 1533-position model. The record is from RNAcentral.